This 734-nucleotide ribosomal RNA is filed under the name fungal sp. APA-2013. RNAcentral describes it as "eukaryotic LSU rRNA". It matches the Rfam family "Eukaryotic large subunit ribosomal RNA", at positions 24 to 663 of the family's 3401-position model. The record is from RNAcentral. Lineage: Eukaryota; Fungi.
CCCGCUGAACUUAAGCAUAUCAAUAAGCGGAGGAAAAGAAAAUAACAAUGAUUUCCCUAGUAACGGCGAGUGAAGAGGAAAGAGCUCAAAGUUGGAACCUGUUUGGCUUAGCUAAACCGGAUUGUAAACUGUAGAAGUGUUUUCCAGACACGCCUGGUAAAAAAGUCCUUUGGAACAGGGCAUCAUAGAGGGUGAGAAUCCCGUCUUUGGCCAGAGCUGUUGUCUUUUGUGAUACAUUUUCAAAGAGUCAGGUUGUUUGGGAAUGCAGCCUAAAUUGGGUGGUAAAUCUCACCUAAAGCUAAAUAUUUGCGAGAGACCGAUAGCGAACAAGUACCGUGAGGGAAAGAUGAAAAGAACUUUGAAAAGAGAGUUAAACAGUAUGUGAAAUUGUUAAAAGGGAACCGUUUGGAGCCAGACUGGCUUAACUGUAAUCAAUCUAGGCUUCGGCCUGGAUGCACUUGCGGUUUAUGCCUGCCAACGACAGUUUUAUUUGGGGGAAAAAAUUAUUAGGAAUGUGGCCAUUCGUGGUGUUAUAGCCUUUUAAAAAAUACCCUGGAUUGGACUGAGGAACGCAGUGGAUGCCUUUAGGCAAGAUUGCUGGGUGCUUUCGCUAAUAAAUGCUAGAAUUUCUGCUUCGGGUGGUGCUAGUGUUUAAAGGUGGAACUCGCUUGGUAUAUUUUUUAUCCGCUUAGGUUGUUGGCUUAAUGACUCUAAAUGACCCGUCUUGAAACACG